GGGCGUGUAGCUCAACAGGCAGAGCAGUGGCCUUUUAAGCCAUUGGUUCAGGGUUCGAAUCCCUGCACGCUCA
Molecule: transfer RNA, 73 nt
Organism: Thermanaerothrix daxensis
Lineage: Bacteria; Bacillati; Chloroflexota; Anaerolineae; Anaerolineales; Anaerolineaceae
Rfam family: tRNA
About the family: Transfer RNA (tRNA) molecules are approximately 80 nucleotides in length. Their secondary structure includes four short double-helical elements and three loops (D, anti-codon, and T loops).
Source: Rfam